Long non-coding RNA from Mus musculus (house mouse), 598 nucleotides. RefSeq annotates it as RIKEN cDNA 1700104L18 gene. The record is from RefSeq and is marked predicted. The transcript is spliced from 3 exons. Lineage: Eukaryota; Metazoa; Chordata; Mammalia; Rodentia; Muridae.
AGAGGGAGAAUAAGUUUGCUAAAAGGCAAAACAGAGAGGGAGGAUAAGAAAGAGAUAUACUGUGUUGGGUAGGUUUUUGUUGGCUCAAACAAGAGGGAACCUCAACUGGGAAAAUGCCUUCAUCAGAUUGCCCUGUAGGUACUUCUGCUGUGAAAGGACCUGGGAGACUUUGCAUUCUGCCACUUUCUGCUGUGAAAACACAUUGUCAAGGCAGCACUGGCUUGAAAACAAUCUAGCAAUAAAACCGUGCCCAGUUUUGAAGAUGGUGGCUUCUCUUUAGGUCAUGUGACGCCACAGCAUGCUCUGAAAAUCGACUGAGUACUUUAGGAGAUAAUCCAGGACAGACUUUGAAGCAGGAGCCAUCCCGUCACUAAUAGCUCCUUGGCAGAUGAUCCUUCCUUCUGGCUCUUCAGAAUUGGAUGUAGUAAUUGCUCUGGAAUUUAAAACUCAUCUGGGGAAUUCCUUGUCUUACAUUUAGGGCACAAACUGCUAAUGGCUCAGGCAUGUUGCGUGUGUGAGUGUGUGCUCACGCAUGCACCCAGCGUGGUGGCAGUGACCUGAGAAUCACAGUAUGUAUAAACAUGGCAUACUUUCACUG